CUCAGAGUGAUGUAGUGGUAACAUCAGUCGUUGCCAUCGACUGUCCCCGGGUCCGAUUCCCGGCUCUGAGA
This 71-nucleotide transfer RNA is filed under the name Pelagophyceae sp. CCMP2097. Its description in RNAcentral is "tRNA-Gly". The record is from RNAcentral. Lineage: Eukaryota; Pelagophyceae.